This is a long non-coding RNA of Anolis carolinensis (green anole), 4294 nucleotides long. RefSeq lists it as uncharacterized. The record is from RefSeq and is a predicted model, not a curated record. The transcript has 2 exons. Lineage: Eukaryota; Metazoa; Chordata; Lepidosauria; Squamata; Anolidae.
AACAUAGAUUCUUGUCUCAAAGGAGCACACAAUCCCAUCACCAAUGGAAAGAGCAUUUGAAUUCAGGAAGGCGGGGAAAAUGCUUGAAUGUUUUCAGAGAAGGGUGACCAAAAUAGGAAAAGAUCUGGAAGCCAAGCUCUAUGAGGUGCAGCUUAAAGAGUUGGGUAUGUUUAGCCUGGAGAAAUUUAAGAGAUGACUUGAUAACCAUUGUUGGAAUAUUUGAAAAGUUGUAAUAUUGAAAAGGGAGCAGGCUUGUUUUCUGCUGCUCCAUAGAGCAAUGAUUUCAAACUACAGGAAAAAAAUCCCUGACAGUAAGAGCUGUUCAACUGUGUAAUACGUUGCCUAAGAGUUUGGCGGAGUUGCUUUCUCUGGAGUGCUGCUAGCCAUCUGUCAGGAGUGUUAUGAUUGUAUAUCCUGCCUGGCAGGGGGUUGGACUGGAUGGCCCAUGUGGUCUUUUCCAAUUUUGUGAUUAUUCUGCCUGAAAAUGUCAAUGCAGAAACACAUGAUUUGCUUAUUUAAUCCAGAAAAUUACUUAUUCGUGAUCAGAACAUUUAUUUAAAGAAACAGAUGUUCCAAUUUUAUGGGGUUUUUUUUCUAAAGAAAGCUAUUUAUUUUAGAGAUGGAGAGAGUGUGAAUUGAAUUAGCUAGAUCGUUCAGCUCCAAGUUGUAAUUUUUUAAUCAGACCCCUCAAAAUGCUCGAUCCUCCAAAGAAGGGGAAGGCUGAAAAGCCAAAUGGGAAAAAGGAGGAAGAAAAGCCAAGAGAAGCCAGUUUUGAGGAGGUUGAAAUGACUAUUUUGGAGCCACAUGUUUUAUUAACCUAAAUGCAAAUGCUCCCCAUAACUAUUCAGAUGUAGGUGGGAUGUGAAGAAAAUGUUCUGCAUCACUGUGUGAGCUAUUGUCACGCCCGAGGCAACGGAGCACCAAGAACCAACGCAGAGGCCAAUAUCUAUCUAAUAUCUUUAUUAAGUAAAUAUAUAAAAGUAAUAAAAACAAGUGAAGAAUAUAGUUCAGAAGCUGACCUAUCAAAUGAGGUCAAAUAAAGUCCAAAAAUGUAUUGUCCAAUAAAUGAUAUUAGAGUUCAAAGUUUUAAAUCCAGUAACCGAAACACACACUAUUGCCAAGCAAUAGUGUGGGGAAAAUGCCCAGAGUCUUUGAAGUCCAAGGUAGCUUGAGAACAAGGCUGGAAACAAACUUGAAUCAUUAAACAAGGUCCGUGACUAGGAACAAGGCGAAACAGAGAUUCUAAGAACAAGGUCCAUGGCUAAAAACAAGGCUAGACAAAUCUUGAAUACUUGAUCCGGAAAGCAAGGAACUGGGGUUGCGGACUUUGCGAAGUCCACACAAGGCUGGAAACACGAAGUUGCUUCUGGAGCUGCUCUGUUGACUCCGCAACAAUUCUAACGUGCCAGGCACCUAUAUUGGGGUCUCGUUUUCCCGCCAACGACCUCUUUCCCUAGAGAACGGGAAACGAAACCCAACUUUGUCCAGAUGUGAAACUCCUUAGAAUUUCCCAAGGGAAGCAUGGCUAAUCAGCCUGUUGUUUAGCUGCAAUCCAUAAGCUCCUGCGAGUCUGUUCUCUCACUCCCCUGUCUGCAGAAUAGGACUGUCUCCUAGGGAACGGGGGUGAGGAAUGCCCAAGGUCUGUUUUACUGGGUUCUUGGGCGAAAACAUCCGGCAGCUGGAAAGAUUCCGGCUCUUGUUGAACCGGUGAAAACCCCAUGUUUUCGUCUUCAUCUGUCACGAUGGCACUAGGAGCAGGACUACAAGGCCCAUGAGGCAUCACAGCUAUAAGAAAUAUACAGUAGAAUAGCAAAGAAACUGCAUAGAUAUAGCAGAAAGUCUGGAUUUUUGGAACCUCAAUUGUAAGCUCAUACAGUAAGAUAACCUCAAUUGUAAGCUCACAAACGAAAAUCAGAGUUGAAUUACCCAUAAAACCAAAAUUUUACUGCAAACAAAAUGAAAAAUGGAGGUUAAAUACCAUGGGCUAAGUUAUCCCAGUGAAGUGAAGUUGAGCUAUUAGAUACAGACUAGAAACCUAUAGUUUGCAAAUAAAUUGUUAAUUAAAUAUUAAAUAUUUCAGAAUCCCAUUUGUGAGCUGGUUUAUUAAUUUUAAGAUGGGCUUUUCCUUUGACAUAACUGGUUAAAUUGGAAAGUUUAAGAUGCACAAAUAAAUAGAAUUAGAGAAAAUGAUCAUGUGGCUGUGUUGCUAGGCAGCAGAACGCAACAGAGGAAUAGCUAGGAAUAAAUUGAACAGCUAGGAUUGGGGAGCAAUGGAAAAACAACGACCCCUCUUGGCUUCUCUCUCCCUUACUCUAUUCUGAUUUUUACAUGCCAUAGUCCAGUGUAUCACAUACUGUGAAGGAUUUGAUCAGGCUGGAGCUAUUAGAUUGGUGCCAAAAGAUUCAUUUAUCUUAUCUGUACUGUUGAUAGUUUGUCCCAGACAAUAUCAAGAUCGACCAAAAUCAAAUCAACUAAUCACAGGUUUCCUGUUACCUUCAUUGAAUAAUGUUGUUUUCUUUCAUUUAAGUAUUCACCAACCAAAAACUAUGCAACAGUGAGAUCCCAUUGCUGAGGUCCUUGAAAACAAGAUAAUCGGGGCAGAGAAACACAGCUUUUCAUCGCAGAUGCUGCACAGGAACCAUUCUCAGAUGGCAUAUAAGUCAAUUUUUGAUAGCAUAUGGCUUGAAGAGAGCAAUCAGUGUUCUCUUUAUUGACAGCCACUCUUUUUAUUGUAAGUAUGGUGAAGGUAGUGAAAAACUUUUUUUCAAGAAGAAAAGCUGAUCAAGAGUUCCAUCCUAGAGAUGAAUAAAAUACAUCUGGGGCAAUGUGUUUGUCUUCUUAUUACCAAAGAGCAUGGCCAAGUCUGAGAUGUAUCCUUAUGACACGAGCUAGAUCCAUUCUAGUUGAAGUGCCAGUACCAGUACUCCAAUUUAAGUGCAGUCACCACCAACAAAACCCCCCUAAGAUGAGUCUGCGAUUUUAAGGAUCUCAUCAUAUGGAAAUUUCCCCCCGUUCCUACACACUUCAAGUACAGAUUUCCACAGAGCCCAUCGAAUGGCACAAGACUGCUUCUGGUAGUUGCUCAUGGGACGUCAUCUCCGCAGCGUGUAGAAACAGGAGGAUUGGACCUCAUCACACUAGAGCUUGGAUCCACCUUAAAUUCACUUAAGGGAGGGGGCUUUAAACAGCUCAGCCAAACAGGUCCUGGGCCUCACCUAAACUACAAAUCCCAGAAUUCUGCAGGAGGCAGAAUCAGAAAAAAACAAUACAUAUCUGAUCAAAACAUAUUUAUGUAACAUUUCUAAUAAUGAUUAGCUUUCCUAUAAUGGAGGCCAUGAAGGGAUCUAAUCCUCCAAAACAUCUAUCUCUACCUCUGUCACCAUAACUGACAUUGCUGUUUCGUCCUUAGAUGCAGGCGACUUGCAGCUGCCCAUGUCUAGUUGAGAGCUUCUGAAGCAGCUGAUGAGAGGGAGCAUUUUUUUCCAAAUGAGCCAGGGACCGACACCAAAACUGUGGUUACUGAAUACAAAUACUGUAUUUCUUCCAUUCCAAGACUCAUUUUUUCCCUAGAGUUUCAUUGGGUUCCAUCUUUAAAGAAGAUGGAGAAUUUACUCACCCCAUCACACAGGAUCGCCACCUUAUCCAUUUCAAGGAUACCAACACACUUUUUAAAACAGGUAUCCUUUUUGAAAACCACUUUCCAUGGGUUUGUUCCCCUGAAACUCCUACCAUUUUUUUCUACGGACAGGGAGAAGAGUGGAGCCGAUUUCUGCCAAUCUUUCUAUUUCAUCACACCAGAGCAUGGAUCCACUUUAAAUCUGGUUUCUUCACACAGCAGUUAAUUGAGGUUAUGCCAGUACUUGAUAAUGUGUGAACCUGUGGAGUCUUGCUUGUACAUCUCCUGAUUGGUUGCAAAGCCAAGCAAAUCCUAGUAUCAGAUAUGAAAUUCAGAAGCUACCACACUCUACAAAUCUUUUUCCUCUUAAGAGUGUGAAAAGUAUACACCAAGUCCAUCUCGGGUUUGUCUAGAAAUUGUGUUAGACUGUUCACACUUGUUCAUCUCAACAAUUUCAUAACACUGAUUCAGGAAAACAAUAGUUUCUUUUUGAUUUGAUGGAAAUAAAAAUAGAGCUGGAUGAUGUCAGGCUAAUGAAUAAUCCCAUCAAAUAGUACUAUAUAAACAGCAGUCUAAAAAUAAGGAAUUCCCCAUUUAGGCCAUCAGUGAUGUAGUUACAGUUGUUCAGUAACAUUUUUUGGGAUGGGGCUAGGAACAAUCACUAUUAAGCAAUGCCAC